GCCACGGUGGUCUAGCGGUUAGAACGCUGGCCUUGUAAUCCUGGGGUCUCGGGUUCAGAUUCCCGGCGGUGCCC
This is a non-coding RNA of Zootermopsis nevadensis, 74 nucleotides long. NCBI's taxonomy places the organism in Eukaryota, Metazoa, Arthropoda, Insecta, Blattodea, Termopsidae. The record is from Rfam.